Anneissia japonica is the source of this 615-nucleotide long non-coding RNA. RefSeq lists it as uncharacterized. The transcript is spliced from 3 exons. The record is from RefSeq and is a predicted model, not a curated record. NCBI's taxonomy places the organism in Eukaryota, Metazoa, Echinodermata, Crinoidea, Comatulida, Comatulidae.
CACAGUUUUCUUCACACUUCGACGACUUCUUCCGCCGACAACCUUUUUCUAUGUGCCUGGUCUGUUGAUUAGUGCCGUAGCUGCAGCAACGCUAUCGUUCCAUUCACCCGCAAUAAUGUCCAAUGGCGACCGAGCUUUCUAAUGGUUCGAUCGAAAAUAUCAGUCUUCGAAAGCAUGAUAGAAGACUUGGAUUGGCUCAUUCGAUGAAUGGGGAUUAUCCCUUUGUGCCCACUGGCCGCUGCAAGCUGGUCCCUGUUGAAAUGUGGUUGUUGUUGUAGCGUUUACACUAAGCAACAGCAAGCAAGCAACCGGCAUCAAAACAGACAAUGGAGCUGUUACAAGAUGCUAUAUCCCACCUGGCCAAGGCCUAUGAUGACAUGAUAGCAAUAAGUGGUAAGUGUAUGUGGCAAAGAUAAGCCACAUCAGUCACUCAUCGCAAAACAUGAUUUUUUGGUUAUUAAUACAGAAAACAGAAAAAAUGAGAGCUAUGAAUUGGUAAAAGAAUCAUUUAAAUUCGUCAUUUUGCUAUGAAGUUAUAGGAGUUUAAACAUACAGCUGUAUAAAGAAAUAUUUGAGAAAUCAGCCUUCAAAGUUUACGAUUUCAGGGAUUUCUUA